UGCAAAUGAUGUCUUUUCUCACGAUGGUCUUCCAAGCUCAUGAAGCUCUGACGACAUUGCCUUUGGGCACACGCUGAUGCAGCUUG
RNAcentral lists this small nucleolar RNA (86 nucleotides) under Larimichthys crocea (large yellow croaker). RNAcentral describes it as "Small nucleolar RNA SNORD35 (ENSLCRG00005004899.1)". It matches the Rfam family "Small nucleolar RNA SNORD35". Rfam says of the family: U35 is a C/D box snoRNA located in intron 6 of ribosomal protein L13A and intron 3 of ribosomal protein S11 in humans and at homologous positions in mouse and chicken ribosomal protein genes. U35 guides the methylation of 2'-O-ribose sites in 28S rRNA. Lineage: Eukaryota; Metazoa; Chordata; Actinopteri; Sciaenidae. The record is from Rfam by way of RNAcentral.